RNAcentral lists this long non-coding RNA (1143 nucleotides) under Anolis carolinensis (green anole). RNAcentral's name for it is "lncRNA (ENSACAG00000034666.1)". The record is from RNAcentral. Lineage: Eukaryota; Metazoa; Chordata; Lepidosauria; Squamata; Anolidae.
AGGCCCUAGAUUUGGGGAUUCUUAUUGGGACACAUGUAGAAUCCCUAGCACAACUUUAAACCAGGUUUGCAAGUUUCCCUAAGACUCCAGAGACACUUUCUCAGAACAGCCUUAUGUAGAACAUCCUGCCUUUGUUGGAUUCAAGUUGAAAUGGUAUUUGAGUUCCCCAGGUUUUGAGGAUCUCAGAGGUAGUUUUGACAGAGGGAUUCUGAAUAGCCCAAGGUCACAACGUUUGACCUGAACCUAAGUAUCUCAAUCGCAAUCCAACACUGCAAAAAUACUGAAAGAGACUAUGAAUCUAUGAUGGUAAAGAUUCAGCUGUCUGAUGAAAACUUUGGGGGUUAUGCGAUAUAACUCUUUUUAUUUUAAUGGAGCUUUUGCCAAAUGAGUGACUGGGGGUGACAUAGGGAAGCCAAAGACAUUCUUACCCAUUCUUCCUUGACUAAAAGCUGAUGUGGCUCUCACUUUUAGAAAGGAGAAGCAUAACAUGUUCUACGCAUGCCCAGUUGGAUCUGGUCCUAUAAUCUGAAUGUGGAAGUUAUGUUUUAUUUGCUCCUGAAAUAGGGUAUUAUCGGUCUUUAUAUCUCAUAUGAGAUCCUCAUUACUUUGCACAACUGGAUUGAACUGCAGCUGGUGGUGGUACAGUAUAUCCAGAUGGAAGGAGAGAGCAGAAAUGCUGAAGGAGUUUUAUUGUCCAUAUGCUACAUUCAGUCAACACAUAAUAAUUACUAUUCACAGGAAAAUACAAUGUGAGUCCUCAUAUCCACAAGAUAUUCGUUCCCAGAUUUUGCAUGGGUAAUACUGAAUCUUCUUAUUUUCAAUAGGGCAAUUUUUUUGUAUCAGGAGCAACUUGAGAAACUGCAAGUCACUUCUGGUGUGCCCGGAUGUUUUGAUGUUUUUACCAUCCUUGUGGGAGGCUUCUCUCAUGUCUCCGCAUGGAGCUGGAGCUGAUAGAGGGAGCUCAUCCGUGCUCUCCCCGGGCAACGUCCUUGCAGACGGCCAAUACUCUCACACCAGAAGCAACUUGCAGUUUCUCAAGUUGCUCCUGACACGGAAAAAAAAAAAAGCAAACACUAUGAUAAGCCAAAUUGUAUGGCAGCUGGAUUCAGCUACUUGCAUUCGUAGAACUCCAGCUUCAAAUUG